This 484-nucleotide ribosomal RNA is filed under the name uncultured bacterium. Its description in RNAcentral is "partial 16S ribosomal RNA". It matches the Rfam family "Bacterial small subunit ribosomal RNA", at positions 30 to 507 of the family's 1533-position model. The record is from RNAcentral.
AUUGAACGCUGGCGGCAGGCCUAACACAUGCAAGUCGAGCGGAUGAAGGGAGCUUGCUCCUGGAUUCAGCGGCGGACGGGUGAGUAAUGCCUAGGAAUCUGCCUGGUAGUGGGGGAUAACGUCCGGAAACGGGCGCUAAUACCGCAUACGUCGUGCGGGAGCAAGUUGGUGAUCUUCGGACCUCACGCUAUCAGAUGAGCCUAGGUCGGAUUAGCUAGUUGGUGGGGUAAAGGCCUACCAAGGCGACGAUCCGUAACUGGUCUGAGAGGAUGAUCAGUCACACUGGAACUGAGACACGGUCCAGACUCCUACGGGAGGCAGCAGUGGGGAAUAUUGGACAAUGGGCGAAAGCCUGAUCCAGCCAUGCCGCGUGUGUGAAGAAGGUCUUCGGAUUGUAAAGCACUUUUAGUUGGGAGGAAGGGCAGUAAGUUAAUACCUUGCUGUUUUGACGUUACCAACAGAAUAAGCACCGGCUAACUUCGUG